GACGAACGCUGGCGGCGCGCCUAACACAUGCAAGUCGAACGGAGCUGAGAGAAGCUUGCUUUUCUUAGCUUAGUGGCGAACGGGUGAGUAACGCGUGAGUAACCUGCCCUGGAGUGGGGGACAACAGUUGGAAACGACUGCUAAUACCGCAUAAGCCCACGAUCCGGCAUCGGAUUGAGGGAAAAGGAUUUAUUCGCUUCAGGAUGGACUCGCGUCCAAUUAGCUAGUUGGUGAGGUAACGGCCCACCAAGGCGACGAUUGGUAGCCGGACUGAGAGGUUGAACGGCCACAUUGGGACUGAGACACGGCCCAGACUCCUACGGGAGGCAGCAGUGGGCGAUAUUGCACAAUGGGGGAAACCCUGAUGCAGCGACGCCGCGUGGAGGAAGAAGGUUUUCGGAUUGUAAACUCCUGUCGUUAGGGACGAUAAUGACGGUACCUAACAAGAAAGCACCGGCUAACUACGUG
Molecule: ribosomal RNA, 468 nt
Filed under: uncultured bacterium
Lineage: Bacteria
Description: partial 16S ribosomal RNA
Rfam family: Bacterial small subunit ribosomal RNA
Source: RNAcentral